GUUUGAUCCUGGCUCAGGAUGAACGCUGGCGGCGUGCUUAACACAUGCAAGUCGAACGGUGAAGCAGAGCUUGCUCUGUGGAUCAGUGGCGAACGGGUGAGUAACACGUGAGCAACCUGCCCCGGACUCUGGGAUAAGCGCUGGAAACGGCGUCUAAUACUGGAUACGAGCAGCGGAGGCAUCUCCAGCUGCUGGAAAGAUUUUUUGGUCUGGGAUGGGCUCGCGGCCUAUCAGCUUGUUGGUGAGGUAAUGGCUCACCAAGGCGUCGACGGGUAGCCGGCCUGAGAGGGUGACCGGCCACACUGGGACUGAGACACGGCCCAGACUCCUACGGGAGGCAGCAGUGGGGAAUAUUGCACAAUGGGCGGAAGCCUGAUGCAGCAACGCCGCGUGAGGGACGACGGCCUUCGGGUUGUAAACCUCUUUUAGCAAGGAAGAAGCGAAAGUGACGGUACUUGCAGAAAAAGCGCCGGCUAACUACGUGCCAGCAGCCGCGGUAAUACGUAGGGCGCAAGCGUUAUCCGGAAUUAUUGGGCGUAAAGAGCUCGUAGGCGGUUUGUCGCGUCUGCUGUGAAAACCCGAGGCUCAACCUCGGGCCUGCAGUGGGUACGGGCAGACUAGAGUGCGGUAGGGGAGAUUGGAAUUCCUGGUGUAGCGGUGGAAUGCGCAGAUAUCAGGAGGAGCACAUUGGAAUUCCUGGUGUAGCGGUGGAAUGCGCAGAUAUCAGGAGGAACACCGAUGGCGAAGGCAGAUCUCUGGGCCGUAACUGACGCUGAGGAGCGAAAGGGUGGGGAGCAAACAGGCUUAGAUACCCUGGUAGUCCACCCCGUAAACGUUGGGAACUAGUUGUGGGGUCCAUUCCACGGAUUCCGUGACGCAGCUAACGCAUUAAGUUCCCCGCCUGGGGAGUACGGCCGCAAGGCUAAAACUCAAAGGAAUUGACGGAAUC
RNAcentral lists this ribosomal RNA (949 nucleotides) under Microbacterium sp. UPD 7. Its description in RNAcentral is "bacterial SSU rRNA". It matches the Rfam family "Bacterial small subunit ribosomal RNA", at positions 11 to 920 of the family's 1533-position model. The record is from RNAcentral. Lineage: Bacteria; Bacillati; Actinomycetota; Actinomycetes; Micrococcales; Microbacteriaceae.